Molecule: ribosomal RNA, 483 nt
Filed under: uncultured bacterium
Lineage: Bacteria
Description: partial 16S ribosomal RNA
Rfam family: Bacterial small subunit ribosomal RNA
Source: RNAcentral
AGUGAACGCUGGCGGCGUGCUUAACACAUGCAAGUCGAACGAGAACGGAUUAUAGCUUGCUAUAAUUGUCAGCUAAGUGGCGCACGGGUGAGUAAUGUAUAGGUAAUAUGCCUCUUACUAAGGGAUAACAAAUGGAAACGUUUGCUAAUACCUUAUACUCCUUAUUAACAGAAGUUAAUAAGGGAAAGAUUUAUUGGUAAGAGAUUAGCCUGUAUUGUAUCAGUUAGUUGGUGGGGUAAUGGCUUACCAAGACUAUGACACAUAACUGGUUUGAGAGGAUGAUCAGUCACACUGGAACUGAGACACGGUCCAGACUCCUACGGGGGCAGCAGUGGGGAAUAUUGCACAAUGGACGAAAGUCUGAUGCAGCAACGCCGCGUGGAGGAUGACACAUUUCGGUGCGUAAACUCCUUUUAUAUGAGAAGAUAAUGACGGUACCUGCAGAAAAAGCCCCGGCUAACUUCGUGCCAGCAGCCGCCGUAA